GAUUUCUCCAGCGACUAAACUGAAUUUAGGAUCUGGGAAGAGCCCGGCAGGGGCAGUUGCAGGAAGAGCAGGUGUCUAGGUCACCAGCAAAAGCACAACACACACAGACUCUGAUGGGAAGAUGAUUGACUCACGUAGAGAAUAACAGGCCUCAUGUCCUGCAGAUGACUCUGUGCUGUGAUCUCCAGAAGGAUGGCAAUUCUCAGAGCUUCUGAAAACAAGGUUAUAAGGGACAGGCUACCUCACAUUCCAUCUGGAGUCACUCAGCUGAC
Molecule: long non-coding RNA, 272 nt
Organism: Choloepus didactylus (southern two-toed sloth)
Lineage: Eukaryota; Metazoa; Chordata; Mammalia; Pilosa; Megalonychidae
Exons: 3
Source: RefSeq, a predicted model, not a curated record